This is a long non-coding RNA of Anthonomus grandis grandis, 554 nucleotides long. RefSeq lists it as uncharacterized. NCBI's taxonomy places the organism in Eukaryota, Metazoa, Arthropoda, Insecta, Coleoptera, Curculionidae. The transcript has 3 exons. The record is from RefSeq and is a predicted model, not a curated record.
ACUAAAGUAUAUGAAGUCGUAACACCUCAUAAAUUUAACUAAUUUAUUUGCAAAAUGUACAAAACGGUAUUUUUCUUGUUCGCACUACUUGCUGCAGUGUCAACGUUACCAGCUCUUAACGAAAGUUUCCACGGUGUCAAGAACAAAUAUUAUAUUUCUAAAAUUGGGUUAGAGUUUUUCCAAGCGUACGCUCAUUGCAAAAUACACGGCUUGUCCCUUGCAACUGAAAUCAACGCUGAAGAAACUUUAGCAGUAACUGAGGCUAUAAGAGCAGUGGGAGCACCUGGUAAUUAUUUUUGGUUAGGAGGUUUCUAUCAGAAUGGAGGGACAUUCUAUCCUCAAUGGAUAUGGCUAGAUUCUGGAAAGCCUAUCGAAUAUAAUAGAUGGAAUAGCCUAGCUUAUCAGAAUCCUUCCUUGUCCUACUGUUUUCUCAGAACUCCACUCGUAAUAGCGGGUCAAAGUCUUUCAGGAAAUUGGUCUUUAACCCCAUGCACGAACAAAAAUACUUUUAUUUGUAAAACUAUAAAUUAUAGCAUAUAAUUUAAAAACAAUAA